RNAcentral lists this ribosomal RNA (1338 nucleotides) under Triticum aestivum (bread wheat). Its description in RNAcentral is "partial small subunit ribosomal RNA". Lineage: Eukaryota; Viridiplantae; Streptophyta; Magnoliopsida; Poales; Poaceae. The record is from RNAcentral.
AUGGACGAGGAGUACGACGUGAUCGUGCUGGGCACGGGCCUUAAGGAGUGCAUCCUCAGCGGCCUCCUCUCCGUCGACGGCCUCAAGGUUUUGCACAUGGAUAGAAAUGACUACUAUGGAGGAGAUUCCACCUCCCUCAACUUGAACCAGCUCUGGAAGAAGUUCAGGGGGGAAGAAAAACCACCGGCGCAUUUAGGUGCGAGCAGAGACUACAAUGUAGACAUGGUUCCAAAGUUUAUGAUGGCGAAUGGGACUUUGGUUCGUACUCUCAUUCACACUGAUGUGACGAAAUAUCUGUCUUUCAAAGCUGUUGAUGGAAGCUAUGUCUUCAGCAAAGGGAAGAUUCACAAGGUUCCUGCCACUGACAUGGAGGCUCUAAAAUCCCCUUUAAUGGGCUUAUUUGAGAAACGUAGAGCAAGGAACUUCUUCAUUUAUGUCCAAGAUUACAAUGAUGCUGAUCCAAGAACACAUCAAGGAUUGGACCUUACAAGGAUGACAACUAGAGAAUUGAUUGCGAAACACGGAUUGAGUGACGAUACUAUAGAUUUCAUUGGCCAUGCGCUUGCUCUUCACAGGGAUGAUCGCUACCUAAGCGAGCCAGCAAUUGACACUGUUAAAAGAAUGAAACUCUAUUCUGAGUCUCUUGCACGGUUCCAAGGAGGCUCACCUUAUAUUUACCCAUUGUAUGGGUUGGGUGAGCUGCCACAGGCUUUUGCACGUCUAAGUGCUGUUUAUGGUGGCACUUAUAUGUUAAAUAAGCCAGAGUGCAAGGUUGAAUUUGAUAUGGAGGGGAAAGUGUGUGGUGUUACAUCAGAAGGUGAAACUGCUAAGUGCAAGAAGGUUGUCUGUGAUCCUUCUUACUUGGCCAACAAGGUAAGGAAGAUUGGAAAAGUUGCACGAGCAAUUGCUAUUAUGAGCCACCCAAUUCCAAAUGCAAAUGAUUCCCACUCGAUUCAGAUUAUUUUACCACAAAAGCAACUUGGGCGCAAGUCAGACAUGUAUGUCUUCUGUUGCUCGUACACUCACAAUGUCGCGCCAAAAGGGAAGUUCAUUGCAUUUGUGUCUGCCGAAGCGGAGACUGAUAAUCCACAGUCCGAACUAAAGCCUGGAAUUGAUCUACUUGGUCCAGUAGAUGAAUUGUUUUUCGAUAUGUAUGACAGAUAUGAACCAGUCAAUGAACCUUCUCUUGAUAAUUGCUUUGUCUCAUCGAGUUAUGAUGCCACUACUCACUUUGAGACGACUGUGACAGAUGUUCUUAAUAUGUACACACUGAUUACUGGAAAGACUGUUGAUCUUAGCGUUGAUCUCAGUGCUGCCAGCGCUGCAGAAGAGUACUAG